Molecule: ribosomal RNA, 211 nt
Filed under: uncultured bacterium
Lineage: Bacteria
Description: partial 16S ribosomal RNA
Rfam family: Bacterial small subunit ribosomal RNA
Source: RNAcentral
UGCGUAGGUGGCGCCGUAAGUGGGGUGUGAAAUCCCGGGGCUUAACCCCGGGACUGCAUUCCAUACUGCGGUGCUUGAGGACUGGAGAGGAGACUGGAAUUUACGGUGUAGCAGUGAAAUGCGUAGAGAUCGUAAGGAAGACCAGUGGCGAAGGCGGGUCUCUGGACAGUUCCUGACACUGAGGCACGAAGGCCAGGGGGAGCAAAACCGG